Long non-coding RNA from Manihot esculenta (cassava), 1502 nucleotides. RefSeq lists it as uncharacterized. The transcript is spliced from 2 exons. Lineage: Eukaryota; Viridiplantae; Streptophyta; Magnoliopsida; Malpighiales; Euphorbiaceae. The record is from RefSeq and is a predicted model, not a curated record.
ACUAUAUAUUAUUUAAUUAAAAAAAUAUAAAUUUAGUGAAUUAAAUAAUAAUUUAUAUGAAAUUGUAUAUUUUUUUAUUUUUUAAAAUAUAUAUAACUUUUAAUAAUAUGAUUUAAUUAUUUCUUAAACAAUCAUGGGAAACACUACAAUUUAUUAAAGGAUAAAAAGAAAAUACUUACCUUUGCUUUGUGUGCGAAUCGUAAUCUUGAUUAAUCUUUCCAGUUCAAUUUAUAUUUAUAAUGAGACUGCAUCGUGGUACCAGCAACUUUGCCUUUUGGAACCAAGAAAGAAUAUGAAUGUGCUACCUUAAAAUAGGACUUAGCUGCUGUCUAGACAGGUUUUUGAUAUUUUCUUUGAUUGUAUGUACUGAAUGUUUAAAGUUUUCAAUUAUUUUCUCAAACCCGUGGUUGAUGCUUGAUCUUUUGGAUGAUCUUAGAAGCAUAAACCCGUGGUUGUUUUUGUGUUGUUAAAAGCUUGUUUUUUUGUCUUUAGAAGCAGAUUUUGCUAAAUAAAUAUAACAAAUGCAUUUGAAAUUAGCACUUAGACUACGGUCAUCGCAAUUUAUAAUCAUGUAUUCUAUAGAUCAUAAACUUUCAUAAUUUCAGUGAACGAUGUAUGGCAGUUCCUGAGUGUAGAUAAUGUCAAAUUAAAUUGAAUAAGUAAAAAAUAACAUUGUAAUCAAUGUAUCAAUUGAGACAUGAAAUAAAAUGAAUUUUGCCAUGUAACCAAAAAAAUUAUUGAAUGAUGUAACAUAUCAACCAUGUACCACUGGUUGAUGCGAAUAUGAUCCUCUCUUUUUCUUUGUUCGUUGGUUUCCUUUUUGCAUUGUGUAGUUAUAGUGGCUGAGUAGUCCUUGCAGCAAGCAACAAGACCAUUUACUUUGUGUACCUCUCAUUCUACUAAUCAAUGACAAUAAAGGCUAAAUGAUCUGUUGAGGCUGUACUAAGCAAAUUUGCUGCGUUAAUGCUUUUCUGAACAUUUCUUUUUCAGAUUUGAAGAUACAUGCAUAAUUCAAAAAUAUAUUGAUUGAUGAUUGUGUGGAAUUCAAAUUUACUUUUAAAGAUUAUUUUAACAGUAAUUAAUGGUUCUGUUACACUUAUUUUCUAAGUAAUAUAUUUGAUAAAUAUUAAUUUGUUGCCCUUUUGUUGUUAGGCUGAGAGCUGCAGGAAUUAGUUGACAAACUCUGGGAGGUUUGAUUCUUCAUUUUGUAAGCAUGCUUUUACGAGAACUCUGGGAAGGCAUAAGAGCUGCAGGAAUUAGUUAACAAACUCUGGGAGGAGUUUUGAUUCUUCAUUUUGUAAUUAUGCUUCAAAAGAACUUUGGGAAGGGUUGAUUUUUGUAGUUAGCUCCACUUUCAUAUGUGGUUUCUUCUAGUUCUUUACUAUGGUAUGGUAUGCAGUCAAUUAUCAUUGAGCUGUUAAACCCUGUAUGUCAAUUAAUACUCAUUUUCAGACCUUUCAACUUGGGGAACUUUUGCUAUAUAUGUAUAGUUUUACUAUUAA